Molecule: ribosomal RNA, 273 nt
Filed under: uncultured bacterium
Lineage: Bacteria
Description: partial 16S ribosomal RNA
Rfam family: Bacterial small subunit ribosomal RNA
Source: RNAcentral
AUACGGAGGGUGCGAGCGUUAAUCGGAAUUACUGGGCAUAAAGCGCGCGUAGGUGGUGACUUAAGUCAGGUGUUAAAUCCUUCGGCUCAACCGAAGUUCGCAUCUGAAACUGAGUCACUAGAGUAUAGUAGAGGAAUGCGGAACUCACAGUGUAGCGGUGAAAUGCGUAGAUAUUGUGAGGAACACCAGUUGCGAAGGCGGCAUUCUGGACUAUUACUGACACUGAGGUGCGAAAGCGUGGGGAGCGAACGGGAUUAGAAACCCCAGUAGUCC